UCUAAGGCCAUAUUCGUCACAUUUUUUAAAAUAUUCUCUAAGUCUACUUCUACGGUUUGAAUAAAAAAGCGAAUUAAGAGCAAAUUUAACUUUUUCAAUUUCUAUGUUUAAAAUUCUCAUACCAUCUCCAACAAUUAAAUGAUAAAUAUGGCAUAUACAUCUAACAUGGAUUAAUAUUCGCAUACCAUCACCAACAAUUAAAUAAUAAUAUGACAAAUACAUCUAACAUGGAAAAUAUU
RNAcentral lists this long non-coding RNA (239 nucleotides) under Nicotiana benthamiana. RNAcentral's name for it is "long non-coding RNA (NBEN_LNC025730)". The record is from RNAcentral. Lineage: Eukaryota; Viridiplantae; Streptophyta; Magnoliopsida; Solanales; Solanaceae.